Malus domestica (apple) is the source of this 1242-nucleotide non-coding RNA. NCBI's taxonomy places the organism in Eukaryota, Viridiplantae, Streptophyta, Magnoliopsida, Rosales, Rosaceae. The record is from RefSeq and is a predicted model, not a curated record.
CACGAGUGGGAUGAAUCCCACAUCUGGUCUCUCAUUCCUCAUUCAUUCUGAAACUCCUCUAUCUAAUCUUUAACUCUCAAACCCUCUCUCUAAACCAGCGAGGAAACCACCCACGUCGCCACAUUUUUCAGAAAAAAUCUCAGAUCACAAUUAUCAAUUUCAGUGUUAGCUUGACCAGAGAAGUCAAUAUGUAGGCUUACAUGUAGACGUUGAUGAUAGGAAGGUCAUAUCCCCAAGAAUCAAGUUCACCGAAGUUUUCUGGUGAAAUUUAAGAUGAAAUCUGAAAGAAUUACUGUCGAUCAAACUUGGGCACAACUUCUUUCAAUCUUAGAUAUCACUUCCAUACUCUACAUGUCUGCAUCGAGUUAAGAUUCAAAGUGUUAACCUCUGUGUAACCUUCGAUGUCAUGUUCGUGCAAUGAACUCCAACUAAUUUCAUUACGUUCGAGUUGAAACUCACCUAAUGAUUUCAAUAUUUUGAGUUCUGGUAAUAUUCAGAACUUAAUGGUGUUGAGUUCGAGCUCAAUUUUGAAGAAAUUAACCUCUAUGAAGUCUCUGUGUAAUUCCCUAGUGUUUUGGUUGAUAGCUUUCGGCAAAACCUCAGCAAAUCCGAGGUAGAAUCGACACCCAGUUGCCAAAUUCCAACUCCAGAAUGAGGCGAACCUUUAGCGGUAGAGCACUGCGGUUGUCGUUAAAUUUAACGGCAAUAAUGGUGGUUACCGUUAGAAAAAAUUGAAUCUCAACUGGAAUUAGGUAUAUUCAACCAACAUUUAAAUUGAGUUCAACGAUCGGCACAUAAGUUCAAUGACGGCGACUGCAUCGUGUAUUCUCUGGCAAUAACGGUAAGUACGAUAGCGCGUCUUCUGGCGAACGACGGUGCAUCCAUCGGCGGGUGAUGCCAUAACGGCAGCACAUGGCGUAGUGGGACUGUCUGUACAGCAGCGUGUGGGGACUUGAAACCUACCUUAAGGUUAUUUGACGUCCCGAAUCACAUGGCACACUUUCUUUAUGCAAAUUCAAAGCCAUUUAUCACUUUUAGGUGAUAGAAUUUGUGAAAUACUAAAACUAAAUGAUAUUUUAUAGGUGAAAGUAUAAGUGAUACAAACAAGAAUAAGGCACUUAUUAAGGAUUUACAGUCACAAUACUAGUGAGUGGAUCCCUUCAAAAAAUAAGUUUUCGAUUAAACUGUUUUUUGAAUUGGAUGAUGUUAAGAUAAUCUUUGAUGACAACAAAAUUGAUUUUA